GCCUGGGUGGCUCAGUCGGUUGAGCGUCCGACUUCGGCUCGGGUCAUGAUCUCACGGUUUGUGGGUUCGAGCCCCGCGUCAGGCU
This 85-nucleotide transfer RNA is filed under the name Felis catus (domestic cat). It matches the Rfam family "tRNA". Rfam says of the family: Transfer RNA (tRNA) molecules are approximately 80 nucleotides in length. Their secondary structure includes four short double-helical elements and three loops (D, anti-codon, and T loops). Lineage: Eukaryota; Metazoa; Chordata; Mammalia; Carnivora; Felidae. The record is from Rfam by way of RNAcentral.